GGGAGCGCCCGGCGCGGAUGCUGCCGGUGCCGGUGCUGCCGGCGCCGGUGCUGCCGGUGCUGCCGGUACCGCCGCAGGUUCCAGCCCCUUCGCUCCGCC
RNAcentral lists this transfer RNA (99 nucleotides) under compost metagenome. RNAcentral's name for it is "tRNA-Gly". The record is from RNAcentral.